UACGUAGGGUGCAAGCGUUGUCCGGAAUUAUUGGGCGUAAAGAGCUCGUAGGCGGUUUGUCGCGUCGAAUGUGAAAACCCGGGGCUCAACCCCGGGCCGCAUUCGAUACGGGCAGACUAGAGUUCGGUAGGGGAGUCUGGAAUUCCUGGUGUAGCGGUGAAAUGCGCAGAUAUCAGGAGGAACACCGGUGGCGAAGGCGGCCAACGUGGGCCGGACCUGACG
Molecule: ribosomal RNA, 222 nt
Filed under: uncultured bacterium
Lineage: Bacteria
Description: partial 16S ribosomal RNA
Rfam family: Bacterial small subunit ribosomal RNA
Source: RNAcentral